AUGACUGUAAUCAGAUCUGACCCCACGAGGGCUUCGUCUGCGAGUAGUGUUUGGAGCACCUAUCCCCCUCCCACGUCCUCACCCACACGCCACUUACGAGGAAGGUUGAGGGGGUGGAGGAAUAGGAUGAAAGGGGUGGGGGACGCCACAGUCUCGCUCGUUUGAAAGCCUUGAACUCGUCCAAGAGGACUGCUGCAUGUGGCGGAGGACGUGCCUUCAAAGCUUCCACAUGCAACUUCCUGCGCCACCUGCGUCUGCUGCCCAAGGGCGGAGCUCAGGCUUGGGGCGUGCUAGCAGGCAGUGACCGUCAGGAUGGUUGUCAUCCCACUCGCCCCACGGUGGCACGGCAAUGUCGACAGGACAGCUGAAACAAGAGACUAGCCCGCUUCCUUCUCCUUCGUCCUAGAGGAAGGAAAGUGAGCACAGACGAGUGCUCUGCGCCCAGAGAUUCUAAAGGGAGUGAAGCAGUGAGGUGUUCCGACAAAGGAUAGAAGUCCUCAGGCGUCCAGAAGAAAAUGCUAGAAGUCAACGGUCGAGCUUCGUCGAAACACCGACAAGGAAGACAAACGGCUACGAAACAGCUCAACCAGCGGUCAACCAUCAGCCCACCGGAACAGGACACACAGCCCACCGCAACAGGACGCAGCAUCCAUCAGCCCACCGCAACAGGAUGCAGAUUUAUAUAUGAACAUACCAUAACAAUGUGUCUCAGUGUCUUGUCCUGUGGGAGUGCUCAACGCUAAAGUACAAUCUUUUCCUGCUAGCCGAUAGAAAAUUGGGAAGAGUUCUGUGAAAAAUUUUUAAAAAAAAUUAAUUUAAAAACAGGACAACUGUAGUAUCACUGAUUUGACAACGGAUCACAGAAAACUGAGGCAACGCAGCUGUCAUGGUCUCAUACCAUGGCGACGUAGAAAUUUGGGAGAAAACUCCGUCUAUAUGCGAUCGACCAUGAAGUAUAAACAAUUCUGUAAAAUACAUUCUUACCUUUCGCAUUCUAACGUUAGAAAUGCGACAUCAAUAGAAGUGACAUGCAUCAGGCUUGUGGAUCGAGAAACAAACUGUAGACGGUAGUUUUCAAGGACUAGUUUGGUCCAUUUAAAAAACAAAUAAUAAAGUAAAUCUUAGAA
Molecule: long non-coding RNA, 1127 nt
Organism: Pomacea canaliculata
Lineage: Eukaryota; Metazoa; Mollusca; Gastropoda; Architaenioglossa; Ampullariidae
Exons: 2
Source: RefSeq, a predicted model, not a curated record